GAACGCUGGCGGCGUGCCUAACACAUGCAAGUCGAGCGAAUGAAGUUCCUUCGGGAAUGGAUUUAGCGGCGGACGGGUGAGUAACACGUGGGCAACCUGCCUCAUAGAGGGGAGUAGCCUUCCGAAAGGGAGAUUAAUACCGCAUAAGAUUGUAGUACCGCAUGGUACAGCAAUUAAAGGAGCAAUCCGCUAUGAGAUGGGCCCGCGGCGCAUUAGCUAGUUGGUGAGGUAACGGCUCACCAAGGCGACGAUGCGUAGCCGACCUGAGAGGGUGAUCAGCCACAUUGGGACUGAGACACGGCCCAGACUCCUACGGGAGGCAGCAGUGGGGAAUAUUGCACAAUGGGGGAAACCCUGAUGCAGCAACGCCGCGUGAGUGAUGACGGCCUUCGGGUUGUAAAGCUCUGUCUUCAGGGACGAUAAUGACGGUACCUGAGGAGGAAGCCACGGCUAACUACGUG
Molecule: ribosomal RNA, 461 nt
Filed under: uncultured bacterium
Lineage: Bacteria
Description: bacterial SSU rRNA
Rfam family: Bacterial small subunit ribosomal RNA
Source: RNAcentral